UUGGGUUCGAUUCUGGCUCAGGACGAACGCUGGCGGCGGGCUUAAUACAUGCAAGUCGAACGCAGUCGACCUUCGGGUCACAUGACUGAGUGGCGAACGGGUGAGUAACACGUGAGAAACCUGCCUCGAAGACUGGAAUAACCCGGGGAAACCCGGGCUAAUACCGGAUAUCCCCAGAUGGUCGCAUGGCCGACUGAGGAAAUGCUCCGGCGCUUCGAGAGGGUCUCACGGCCUAUCAGCUAGUUGGUGAGGUAACGGCUCACCAAGGCAUCGACGGGUAGCUGGUCUGAGAGGACGAUCAGCCACACUGGGACUGAGAUACGGCCCAGACUCCUACGGGAGGCAGCAGUAGGGAAUCUUGCGCAAUGGGCGAAAGCCUGACGCAGCCACGCCGCGUGAGUGAUGAAGGCCUUCGGGUCGUAAAGCUCUUUCAGCAGGGACGAAAAUGACGGUACCUGCAGAAGAAGCCCCGGCCAACUACGUGCCAGCAGCCGCGGUAAUACA
RNAcentral lists this ribosomal RNA (504 nucleotides) under uncultured Actinomycetes bacterium. RNAcentral describes it as "bacterial SSU rRNA". It matches the Rfam family "Bacterial small subunit ribosomal RNA", at positions 1 to 527 of the family's 1533-position model. Lineage: Bacteria; Bacillati; Actinomycetota; Actinomycetes. The record is from RNAcentral.